This 525-nucleotide long non-coding RNA is filed under the name Felis catus (domestic cat). Its description in RNAcentral is "lncRNA (ENSFCAG00000048404.1)". Lineage: Eukaryota; Metazoa; Chordata; Mammalia; Carnivora; Felidae. The record is from RNAcentral.
CUCCAGGUGAAGGCAGAGGAACACAAAAGCAAGUGGAAAGGCAAUGUUAUACGACAAAUAAGAUGGCUACAGAAAAAGAAAUAAAGGACAUGCAUUUCAAGUUUGUAUGCGGGUUACAUUUGAGCCUUGAAGAUGACAGAUCCUAUUCUUACAGAACUUCUUAUAAAUUUCAUUCACUUGUGGCAAGUUUAUCUUAUGUGAGUUUGUAAAUUAAAUUUACUCCUCUACUGCAAAAGAUUCCCUUUCAAAAUAAUGCAAUAAUUAUUUAUGUUAAUAUUCACUGUGUAAACAUUUAUUGAACACCACCCCCCAUGAUGUGCCAAACACCACACUAGAAAACAAGAAGACAAAAGAAAUGAAGAGUUUUGAGCUAAAUUAAUCCACAAUACAAUCAUUUUCAGUGUACCAACUAACCAGAUAUAAGACAUGGAUGUGCCUUCAGGACACAGGUGACCUGACAGCAAGGAGAGGCAUAUAUGUGAAACAGUAAGGAGCAAUAUAAAAUAUUGUAAUUAACAGUAAAAC